AGGUCAUUACCGAAUUGUCAACACGAGUUGUUGCUGGUCCUCAAGUGGGGGCAUGUGCACGCUCUGUUCACACAUCCACUCACACCUGUGCACCCUCCAUAGUUCUGCAGCCUGGGGGCUCUGUUCCCUGCCGUGGUUCUAUGUAUUUACACACACACAGUGUAGUGAAGUCUCAUGGAAUGCAUACCGCGUUUAACGCAAUAUAAUACAACUUUCAGCAACGGAUCUCUUGGCUCUCGCAUCGAUGAAAAACGCAGCGAAAUGCGAUAAGUAAUGUGAAUUGCAAAAUUCAGUGAAUCAUCAAAUCUUUGAACGCACCUUGCGCCCUUUGGCUAUUCCGAAGGGCAUGCCUGUUUGAGUAUCAUGAACACCUCAACUCUCAUGGCUUUGCCAUGAUGAGCUUGGACUUUGGGGGUCUUGCUGGCCUGUGGUCAGCUCCUCUCAAACAAAUUAUCUUGCCAGUGUUUGGUGGCAUCACAGGUGUGAUAACUAUCUACGCUUGUGGUUUUCCAUCAGGUAACCUUCAGUGACAAAGGUCUGCUGGGGCUCAUAAAUGUCUCUCCUCAGUGAGGACAGCUCUUUGAACGUUUGAUCUCAAAUCAGGUAAGACUACCCGCUGAACUUAA
RNAcentral lists this ribosomal RNA (626 nucleotides) under uncultured Thelephoraceae. Its description in RNAcentral is "eukaryotic LSU rRNA". The stretch from base 210 to 364 matches the Rfam family "5.8S ribosomal RNA". The record is from RNAcentral. Lineage: Eukaryota; Fungi; Basidiomycota; Agaricomycetes; Thelephorales; Thelephoraceae.